UAAUUGUUGUUGCAAAUUUCUUGGGACUAGAGUCCUCGGAAGUUUCGGUCCUACUUUCCCAUGUUUGUGAGGAGAACUUGCAGGAGAAUUAGAGAUAAAUCGUUUUUUUGUGGCUACACUUUGGGACCAUGUGGGAGCAUCAGUGGAUACUGCAUGUGAGUGAAUUUCAUUAGUGCAUGGUUUUGUCUUUUGUGCAUUCUCCAAAUGAGCAACUACUUGCUUGUUCAGUGUUAGUUAUGCUCUCAAUUUUGUUCUGUGAGCCAGAUUGAACCAGUUGAAUAGUACUAGUAGUGCCAUGAUAUGAUUGACUCUGGUCACCACAGUACACUGCAGCAUGACUCUGUAGCAUAUCAAUGUUAUCGACGCUAUAGCUACAGUGAAUACAUCAGGCUCUAUAGGUCAUCCCACACUGUUUUCUGUCGCUGAGACAUGGAUACGCCCUUGGCUACACGUGUUACAAAGCCAUUAUAACUGUCUGUAGAGGUAACAAUUCCUAGCCUAUUCAGGAUUUUCAUGAGUACGUGUGACCCCCCACACAUCUCAACUGUGUCUGAUAGUAGACUAGCAUGUGAAAAUUCAGGAUUUUCAUGAGUACGCGUGACCCCCCACACAUCUCAACUGUGUCUGAUAGUAGACUAGCAUGUGAAAAUUCAGGAUUUUCAGGAGUACGCAUGACCCCCCCACACAUCUCAACUGUGUCUGAUAGUAGCAUGUGACAAUUCAGGAUUUUCUUGAGUACGCGUGAGUACCCCCACACAUCUCAACUGUGUCUGAUAAUAGCAAGUGUAGUGGUGUAGGUACUCUCAUGUUCGUGCAAAACAGUAUACCACUAAGUAUGUUAAACCGUCUCACAUCUUUAGUGUUAAAUUUUCAUCUAAAUGGCUCCUAAAAUGGUUUCUGGUUUACUUUCCUAAUCACCUAGAUUUCAAGUACGUGCAUAGGCAAUAAUUAUGGUACAGUUUUAUAUGCAAAAAACGGGGAUUUGCUAACAAGCCUAUCCUGGGAAUUAGGAAGGGCUCAAAGCACCACUGAUACAGAUGUCAUGUAUGAGACAAUUAGUGACAUGCCCAGUGACGAUGCUAUAAUUAUUAAGAAGAGCCGGGAAUAAUUUAGUUCACACAGAAAGUGACCGGUACAGUCAGCUCGAUGCUGCUUCUCUAAGUUCAACAAUAAAGCACCUCAAUAUAAACAAGGAAAUAGGAAUCUCGGAUGAACGCUUGUGGAAAUUCAUUAAGUCUAUCACAAGGACAAUGAAAGAAGGAGGCAGUGGUAAAGAAAAACUUUCUAACACCUUCUUCUGUGUCUACGAUGCAUUCCCCAGGACAGAGUUGACUAUGUGUACGUCUGGACAGUGUCUGUUAAAGUUUUUGAAAGACUUGGGUUGAAUCCCACAGCACGCACAGAAUAUAAGUACACGGCCGAUCAGGGUGAUACUUCGAAUUGAUUGAUGAUGAGGACAUCUGUUAGAAGCAAUACACAAACGUGGUUUAUUAUACCACUAUCUUGCAAUUAUUAUGGAUUUUUUUCAACGAUAUAUUUCUCAACACUCAAUUAUGAAUCGACACAAAAAAUAACUAUAAUACAUGUUCCUCAAUCAUAUAGGAUAUAUAGCACGUACUGAAUGUGUUCAAAUA
Halichondria panicea is the source of this 1634-nucleotide long non-coding RNA. RefSeq lists it as uncharacterized. The transcript is spliced from 3 exons. NCBI's taxonomy places the organism in Eukaryota, Metazoa, Porifera, Demospongiae, Suberitida, Halichondriidae. The record is from RefSeq and is a predicted model, not a curated record.